CUACACGGCCCAGACUCCUACGGGAGGCAGCAGUGGGGAAUAUUGCGCAAUGGGCGAAAGCCUGACGCAGCGACGCCGCGUGAGGGUCGAAGGCCUUAGGGUUGUAAACCUCUUUCAGCAGGGACGAAGGGCAACUGACGGUACCUGCAGAAGAAGCACCGGCUAACUACGUGCCAGCAGCCGCGGUAAUACGUAGGGUGCAAGCGUUGUCCGGAUUUAUUGGGCGUAAAGAGCUCGUAGGCGGCCUGUCACGUCGGAUGUGAAAACCCGGGGCUCAACCACGGGCCUGCAUUCGAUACGGGCAGGCUAGAGGAUGGUAGGGGAGACUGGAAUUCCUGGUGUAGCGGUGAAAUGCGCAGAUAUCAGGAGGAACACCGGUGGCGAAGGCGGGUCUCUGGGCCAUUCCUGACGCUGAGGAGCGAAAGCGUGGGGAGCGAACAGGAUUAGAUACCCUGGUAGUCCACGCCGUAAACGGUGGGCGCUAGGUGUGGGGACCCUUCCACGGUCUCCGUGCCGCAGCUAACGCAUUAAGCGCCCCGCCUGGGGAGUACGGCCGCAAGGCUAAAACUCAAAGGAAUUGACGGGGGCCCGCACAAGCGGCGGAGCAUGCGGCUUAAUUCGAUGCAACGCGAAGAACCUUACCUGGGCUUGACAUGGAGGGAAAUCUCAUAGAGAUAUGAGGUCCGUAAGGGCCCUCUGCAGGUGGUGCAUGGCUGUCGUCAGCUCGUGUCGUGAGAUGUUGGGUUAAGUCCCGCAACGAGCGCAACCCUCGUUCUAUGUUGCCAGCACGUAAUGGUGGGGACUCAUAGGAGACUGCCGGGGUCAACUCGGAGGAAGGUGGGGAUGACGUCAAGUCAUCAUGCCCCUUAUGUCCAGGGCUGCACGCAUGCUACAAUGGCCGGUACAAAGGGCUGCGAUACCGCAAGGUGGAGCGAAUCCCAAAAAGCCGGUCUCAGUUCGGAUUGGGGUCUGCAACUCGACCCCAUGAAGUCGGAGUCGCUAGUAAUCGCAGAUCAGCAACGCUGCGGUGAAUACGUUCCCGGGCCUUGUACACACCGCCCGUCACGUCACGAAAGUCGGUAACACCCGAAGCCGGUGGCCCAACCCUUGUGGAGGGAGCCGUCGAAGGUGGGACUGGCGAUUGGGACGAAGUCGGAACAAGGUAGCCGUACCGGAGGUGCGGCUG
RNAcentral lists this ribosomal RNA (1186 nucleotides) under metagenome. RNAcentral describes it as "bacterial SSU rRNA". It matches the Rfam family "Bacterial small subunit ribosomal RNA", at positions 322 to 1520 of the family's 1533-position model. The record is from RNAcentral.